This 75-nucleotide transfer RNA is filed under the name Chroococcus sp. FPU101. RNAcentral's name for it is "tRNA-Arg". It matches the Rfam family "tRNA". From Rfam's summary of the family: Transfer RNA (tRNA) molecules are approximately 80 nucleotides in length. Their secondary structure includes four short double-helical elements and three loops (D, anti-codon, and T loops). The record is from RNAcentral. Lineage: Bacteria; Bacillati; Cyanobacteriota; Cyanophyceae; Chroococcales; Chroococcaceae.
UGGGCAUGUAGCUCAGUGGAUAGAGUGCCAGGUUCCGGUCCUGUAGGUCGGGGGUUCGAAUCCCUCCAUGCUCGU